GAUCAUGGCUCAGAUUGAACGCUGGCGGCAUGCCUUACACAUGCAAGUCGAACGGUAACAGGUCUUCGGAUGCUGACGAGUGGCGAACGGGUGAGUAAUACAUCGGAACGUGCCCGAUCGUGGGGGAUAACGAAGCGAAAGCUUUGCUAAUACCGCAUACGAUCUACGGAUGAAAGCGGGGGAUCUUCGGACCUCGCGCGGACGGAGCGGCCGAUGGCAGAUUAGGUAGUUGGUGGGAUAAAAGCUUACCAAGCCGACGAUCUGUAGCUGGUCUGAGAGGAUGAUCAGCCACACUGGGACUGAGACACGGUCCAGACCCCUACGGGAGGCAGCAGUGGGGAAUUUUGGACAAUGGACGCAAGUCUGAUCCAGCCAUUCCGCGUGCAGGAUGAAGGCCCUCGGGUUGUAAACUGCUUUUGUACGGAACGAAAAGGUUUCUAUUAAUACUAGGAGCUCAUGACGGUACCGUAAGAAUAAGCACCGGCUAACUACGUG
This 495-nucleotide ribosomal RNA is filed under the name uncultured bacterium. RNAcentral describes it as "bacterial SSU rRNA". It matches the Rfam family "Bacterial small subunit ribosomal RNA", at positions 15 to 507 of the family's 1533-position model. The record is from RNAcentral.